GUGGGGAAUUUUGGACAAUGGGCGCAAGCCUGAUCCAGCAAUGCCGCGUGCAGGAAGAAGGCCUUCGGGUUGUAAACUGCUUUUGUACGGAACGAAACGGUCCUGGUUAAUACCUGGGGCUAAUGACGGUACCGUAAGAAUAAGCACCGGCUAACUACGUGCCAGCAGCCGCGGUAAUACGUAGGGUGCGAGCGUUAAUCGGAAUUACUGGGCGUAAAGCGUGCGCAGGCGGUGCUGUAAGACAGGCGUGAAAUCCCCGGGCUCAACCUGGGAAUUGCGCUUGUGACUGCAGUGCUGGAGUACGGCAGAGGGGGAUGGAAUUCCACGUGUAGCAGUGAAAUGCGUAGAUAUGCGGAGGAACACCGAUGGCGAAGGCAGUCCCCUGGGCCUGUACUGACGCUCAUGCACGAAAGCGUGGGGAGCAAACAGGAUUAGAUACCCCUGUAGUCC
RNAcentral lists this ribosomal RNA (450 nucleotides) under uncultured bacterium. RNAcentral's name for it is "partial 16S ribosomal RNA". It matches the Rfam family "Bacterial small subunit ribosomal RNA", at positions 354 to 796 of the family's 1533-position model. The record is from RNAcentral.